CCUACGGGUGGCUGCAGUGGGGAAUAUUGGACAAUGGGGGCAACCCUGAUCCAGCCAUGCCGCGUGUGUGAAGAAGGCCCUCGGGUUGUAAAGCACUUUCAGUGAGGAAGAACGCCUGGUGGUUAAUACCCAUCAGGAAAGACAUCACUCACAGAAGAAGCACCGGCUAACUCCGUGCCAGCAGCCGCGGUAAUACGGAGGGUGCGAGCGUUAAUCGGAAUUACUGGGUGUAAAGCGCGCGUAGGUGGCUUGAUAAGCCGGUUGUGAAAGCCCCGGGCUCAACCUGGGAACGGCAUCCGGAACUGUCAAGCUAGAGUGCAGGAGAGGAAGGUAGAAUUCCCGGUGUAGCGGUGAAAUGCGUAGAGAUCGGGAGGAAUACCAGUGGCGAAGGCGGCCUUCUGGACUGACACUGACACUGAGGUGCGAAAGCGUGGGUAGCAAACAGGAUUAGAUACCCUUGUAGUC
This 465-nucleotide ribosomal RNA is filed under the name Vreelandella stevensii. RNAcentral's name for it is "partial 16S ribosomal RNA". It matches the Rfam family "Bacterial small subunit ribosomal RNA", at positions 338 to 795 of the family's 1533-position model. The record is from RNAcentral. Lineage: Bacteria; Pseudomonadati; Pseudomonadota; Gammaproteobacteria; Oceanospirillales; Halomonadaceae.